RNAcentral lists this ribosomal RNA (253 nucleotides) under uncultured bacterium. Its description in RNAcentral is "partial 16S ribosomal RNA". It matches the Rfam family "Bacterial small subunit ribosomal RNA", at positions 524 to 776 of the family's 1533-position model. The record is from RNAcentral.
UACGUAGGGUGCGAGCGUUAAUCGGAAUUACUGGGCGUAAAGCGUGCGCAGGCGGUUUUGUAAGACCGAUGUGAAAUCCCCCGGCUUAACCUGGGAACUUCAUUUGUGACUGCAAGACUAGAGUGCGGCAGAGGGGGGUAGAAUUCCACGUGUAGCAGUGAAAUGCGUAGAUAUGUGGAGGAAUAACGAUGGCGAAGGCAGCCCCCUGGGUUGACACUGACGCUCAUGCGCGAAAGCGUGGGGAGCAAACAGG